GUGGGGAAUAUUCCGCAAUGGACGAAAGUCUGACGGAGCAACGCCGCGUGAGUGAUGAAGGUUUUCGGACUGUAAAGCUCUGUUGUUUAGGACGAAAGUGCCUGUUGCGAAUAGUUACAGGUAUUGACGGUACUGAACGAGGAAGCCACGGCUAACUACGUGCCAGCAGCCGCGGUAAUACGUAGGUGGCAAGCGUUGUCCGGAAUUAUUGGGCGUAAAGAGCAUGUAGGCGGGAAUCUAAGUCUGUUGUGAAAAUGCGGGGCUCAACCCCGUAUUGCGAUGGAAACUGGGUUUCUUGAGUGCAGGAGAGGAAAGGGGAAUUCCCAGUGUAGCGGUGAAAUGCGUAGAUAUUGGGAGGAACACCAGUGGCGAAGGCGGCUUCCUGGCACAAUACUGACGCUCAUGUGCGAAAGCUAGGGCAGCGAACGGGAUUAGAUACCCCUGUAGUCC
RNAcentral lists this ribosomal RNA (450 nucleotides) under uncultured bacterium. Its description in RNAcentral is "partial 16S ribosomal RNA". It matches the Rfam family "Bacterial small subunit ribosomal RNA", at positions 354 to 796 of the family's 1533-position model. The record is from RNAcentral.